RNAcentral lists this ribosomal RNA (469 nucleotides) under uncultured bacterium. Its description in RNAcentral is "partial 16S ribosomal RNA". It matches the Rfam family "Bacterial small subunit ribosomal RNA", at positions 28 to 508 of the family's 1533-position model. The record is from RNAcentral.
GACGAACGCUGGCGGCGUGCUUAACACAUGCAAGUCGAACGGAAAGGCCCUGCUUUUGUGGGGUGCUCGAGUGGCGAACGGGUGAGUAACACGUGAGUAACCUGCCCUUGACUUUGGGAUAACUUCAGGAAACUGGGGCUAAUACCGGAUAGGAGCUCCUGCUGCAUGGUGGGGGUUGGAAAGUUUCGGCGGUUGGGGAUGGACUCGCGGCUUAUCAGCUUGUUGGUGGGGUAGUGGCUUGCCAAGGCUUUGACGGGUAGCCGGCCUGAGAGGGUGACCGGCCACAUUGGGACUGAGAUACGGCCCAGACUCCUACGGGAGGCAGCAGUGGGGAAUAUUGCACAAUGGGCGGAAGCCUGAUGCAGCAACGCCGCGUGCGGGAUGACGGCCUUCGGGUUGUAAACCGCUUUCGCCUGUGACGAAGCGUGAGUGACGGUAAUGGGUAAAGAAGCACCGGCUAACUACGUGC